CCUACGGGAGGCAGCAGUGGGGAAUCUUAGACAAUGGGCGCAAGCCUGAUCUAGCCAUGCCGCGUGAUCGAUGAAGGCCUUAGGGUUGUAAAGAUCUUUCGUGGGGGAAGAUAAUGACGGUACCCCAAGAAGAAGCCCCGGCUAACUCCGUGCCAGCAGCCGCGGUAAUACGGAGGGGGCUAGCGUUAUUCGGAAUUACUGGGCGUAAAGCGCACGUAGGCGGAUUGGAAAGUCAGAGGUGAAAUCCCAGAGCUCAACUUUGGAACUGCCUUUGAAAACUCCCAGUCUUGAGGUCGAGAGAGGUGAGUGGAAUUCCGAGUGUAGAGGUGAAAUUCGUAGAUAUUCGGAGGAACACCAGUGGCGAAAGGCGGCUCACUGGCUCGAUACUGACGCUGAGGUGCGAAAAGCGUGGGGAGCAAACAGGAUUAGAUACCCUGGUAGUCCACGCCGUAAACGAAUGAAUGCCAGUCGUCGGGUAGCAUGCUAUUCGGUGACACACCUAAACGGAUUAAAGCAUUCCGCCUGGGGAGUACGGCCGCAAGGUUAAAAACUACAAAAGGAAAUUGACGGCNGAGAGNGCGAGACGACACGAGGAGGAGG
Molecule: ribosomal RNA, 600 nt
Filed under: uncultured bacterium
Lineage: Bacteria
Description: bacterial SSU rRNA
Rfam family: Bacterial small subunit ribosomal RNA
Source: RNAcentral